RNAcentral lists this ribosomal RNA (402 nucleotides) under bacterium. Its description in RNAcentral is "partial 16S ribosomal RNA". It matches the Rfam family "Bacterial small subunit ribosomal RNA", at positions 355 to 776 of the family's 1533-position model. The record is from RNAcentral.
UGGGGAAUUUUGCACAAUGGGGGAAACCCUGAUGCAGCGACGCCGCGUGAUUUAGAAGGCCUUCGGGUUGUAAAAAUCUUUUUUACGGGAUGAAAAUGACAGUACCGUAAGAAUAAGGUCCGGCUAAAUACGUGCCAGCAGCCGCGGUAAUACGUAUGGACCGAGCGUUGUCCGGAAUCAUUGGGCGUAAAGGGUACGUAGGCGGCCUAGUAAGUUAGAAGUGAAAUAAUAUAGCUCAACUAGAUAAAGCUUUUAAAACUGCUAGGCUUGAGAGAUGGAAGGGAAAGUGGAAUUCCUAGUGUAGCGGUGAAAUGCGCAGAUAUUAGGAAGAAUACCGGUGGCGAAGGCGACUUUCUGGUCAUCAUCUGACGCUGAGGUACGAAAGCGUGGGUAGCAAACAGG